AGAGUUUGAUCAUGGCUCAGAACGAACGCUGGCGGCGUGGAUAAGACAUGCAAGUCGAACGCUGGUUUGCGGGUAGCAAUAUUUGCAAACUGGAGUGGCGCAAGGGUGUGUAACACGUGGGUAAUCUGCCGUGAAGUCUGGGAUAACUCGCUGAAAGGCGAGCUAAUACCGGAUGUGAACGCAAGUUCAAAGUUGGGGACCGCAAGGCCUGACGCUUCACGAUGAGCCCGCGGCCUAUCAGCUAGUUGGUGAGGUAACGGCUCACCAAGGCUAAGACGGGUAGCUGGUCUGAGAGGACGACCAGCCACACUGGAACUGAGACACGGUCCAGACACCUACGGGUGGCAGCAGUCGAGAAUUUUUCUCAAUGGGCGAAAGCCUGAAGGAGCGACGCCGCGUGGGGGAUGAAUGGCUUCGGCCCGUAAACCCCUGUCAUUUGCGAACAAAUUGUUUCACCUAAUACGUGAAGCAUUGAUUGUAGCGGAAGAGGAAGGGACGGCUAACUCUGUGCCAGCAGCCGCGGUAAUACAGAGGUCCCAAGCGUUGUUCGGAUUCACUGGGCGUAAAGGGUGCGUAGGCGGCCAGGUAAGUUUGAUGUGAAAUCCCGCAGCUCAACUGCGGAACUGCAUUGAAUACUAUUUGGCUCGAGGAAUGGAGGGGAGACUGGAAUUCUCGGUGUAGCAGUGAAAUGCGUAGAUAUCGAGAGGAACACCAGUGGCGAAGGCGAGUCUCUGGACAUUUCCUGACGCUCAGGCACGAAAGCCAGGGGAGCAAACGGGAUUAGAUACCCCGGUAGUCC
Molecule: ribosomal RNA, 799 nt
Filed under: uncultured bacterium
Lineage: Bacteria
Description: bacterial SSU rRNA
Rfam family: Bacterial small subunit ribosomal RNA
Source: RNAcentral